CGCUUAUCUGCGGAGCAGCAACACUCUAUGCCGUACUCUUCUCGCCGUGGCGAGCUCGCGGCCAGUCAUGAUCUGAUUUAUUGGGGCCAUCGAGUAGUGUUGCCUGAUGCGGCGCGACGGUGCAUGCUAAGGGAACUGCACGACAGUCACCCCGGUAUCGGCGCGAUGAAGCGCACAGCGCGUGCAUUUUUUUUUGGUAUCCCGGAUUAGACAGGGACAUCGAACGGUUGGUUCAAGGUUGCCCUCAGUGUAUACAAUGUUGGCCCAUGCCAGCCGCAGAAGUUCCGUCUCCUUGGCCGACGAGCAACAAACCAUGGUACAGGUUGCAUAUGAAUUUUGCGGGCCCCAUCAAUGGCUACCAAGUUUUUGUGUUGGUGGACGCCGAGACUAAAUGGAUUGAGGCCAUACCUUUGAAGACCGCCACGGCGGAGGCCACCAUUCACGUACUUCAAGAACGACCCCUUUGGAAUGAGGAAAAUCGCCAGCAGAACUGCUGUUGGGCUUUCGUCCCCGAACCAGGCUGACGGCUUCGCUCACAGGCAAAAAGGGGGCUGAAAAUGAUGGUUCCGGCGAACCUGUGCAAGCACAAGCAAAAGCCCAAACGCGGUUCCAACCAGGAAGGCGUGUAUGGUCGCGCCAGUACCAGUCUGGUCAGAGAUGGAUGCCGGCGACAGUAGUGUCCACGACCGGAGCACGCAUGGUUAAGCUAGAAACACCGGAGGGACCGCAGCGGCGCCACGUAGAUCAACUCCGGCCACGGCUGGACUCAGGAUCAUCACCUAGCAAGCCCAUCCAAGUCAACGACGAAGCUCAGUGUACUUCCAAGGAUGCAGACGCUCGUCAAGAUACGAGCGUACGAGAAGUCAACUCUCAAGCCGAAGACCAACAACCACUACGGCGUUCGACUCGCCAGCGGAAACGACCGGAUCGUCUCGCUUACUCUAGCUUAGGGGGGAGGGAUGCAGUGUUAUCAAGCACGCGUACUGAUGUAUAACAAGAGCAGUACUGUUUGCGCGUGUCGUACACUUGCUUAUCAUGACUAGCCAUGCGACCUUUUCUGUUUAGUUAUAAAGCCAGAAACACCGAGCAAUAAACCGUCUUUCGUUCUGCC
Long non-coding RNA from Rhipicephalus sanguineus (brown dog tick), 1111 nucleotides. RefSeq lists it as uncharacterized. The record is from RefSeq and is a predicted model, not a curated record. NCBI's taxonomy places the organism in Eukaryota, Metazoa, Arthropoda, Arachnida, Ixodida, Ixodidae. The transcript has 2 exons.